UACGGGGGGGGCAAGCGUUGUUCGGAAUUACUGGGCGUAAAGGGCUCGUAGGCGGCCAACUAAGUCGGACGUGAAAUCCCUCGGCUUAACCGGGGAACUGCGUCUGAUACUGGAUGGCUUGAAUCCGGGAGAGGGAUGCGGAAUUCCAGGUGUAGCGGUGAAAUGCGUAGAUAUCUGGAGGAACACCGGUGGCGAAGGCGGCAUUCUGGACCGACAUUGACGCUGAGGAGCGAAAGCCAGGGGAGCAAACGGG
Molecule: ribosomal RNA, 253 nt
Filed under: uncultured bacterium
Lineage: Bacteria
Description: partial 16S ribosomal RNA
Rfam family: Bacterial small subunit ribosomal RNA
Source: RNAcentral